AACUGAAAAACUGAUUCUUUAAUACUCUGUUUUUCCUUACAGAAUAGAGAUACAUGAGGAUACCACUGUCUCCAUUUCAGUUAAGAGGACAUGAAAAAAUAAAAGAUAUGGCCAUGGAAUGCAGUCACUUUUUAGAGAUGGAUGUAGCCCAACUGGACCAUAGAAUUGGGCACCAAAAGGAUAUUUGAACACACGCUUUGCUCAGGUCACUGUGAAGUUAGCUAUUCCUAAUUUUCAAGAAACAACACUUCAGAGAACUCCACCUUUACAGUUUUUUGAAUGGAAAUAAUUUCUUCCUUUAUGCCUCCCUUUGGAUGAUGUACUCAGAUGGAUCAUUACUUUACUGCAUUUAUAUGUAAUUGAAAUUAUACGUAUGUUCAAAUGGUAUUAAAAUCAGAAAGAACAGAUACUGUUUUCAGAAAGUUACUUACACUAGACAUUAAAACCAUUUUCAUCUUUUAGGCAUACACACUUCCUGUCUUCCUAAAAGUAUUUAAAUUAUGUUUUCAUAGGACAAAUCACCCAAUUGUGCUUCCAGUGAAACAGAAACACAUUUCUCUUUCAAAUACAUAAAUAAAAAUAAUCGAAAUGGCA
This 594-nucleotide long non-coding RNA is filed under the name Anas platyrhynchos platyrhynchos (common mallard). RNAcentral's name for it is "lncRNA (ENSAPLG00000026409.1)". The record is from RNAcentral. Lineage: Eukaryota; Metazoa; Chordata; Aves; Anseriformes; Anatidae.